UACGUAGGGUGCGAGCGUUAAUCGGAAUUACUGGGCGUAAAGGGUGCGUAGGUUGUUGAUUAAGUUAUCUGUGAAAUACCUGGGCUUAACCUGGGCAGGUCAGAUAAGACUGAUUGACUCGAGUAUAGGAGAGGGUAGUGGAAUUUCCGGUGUAGCGGUGAAAUGCGUAGAGAUCGGAAGGAACAUCGGUGGCGAAGGCGGCUACCUGGCCUGAUACUGACACUGAGGCACGAAAGCGUGGGGAGCAAACAGG
This 253-nucleotide ribosomal RNA is filed under the name uncultured bacterium. RNAcentral describes it as "partial 16S ribosomal RNA". It matches the Rfam family "Bacterial small subunit ribosomal RNA", at positions 524 to 776 of the family's 1533-position model. The record is from RNAcentral.